This 406-nucleotide ribosomal RNA is filed under the name Stagnicola corvus. RNAcentral's name for it is "partial 28S ribosomal RNA". The record is from RNAcentral. Lineage: Eukaryota; Metazoa; Mollusca; Gastropoda; Lymnaeidae.
GAAACCGCCCAGAGGUAAACGGGUGGAUCCGCAAAGUCGGCCCGCGGAAUUCAGCGUGUGCGGUGGGUUGGGCCUGCCUGGGUCUUGGGAUCUUCGGACCCUGCCUGGGCGGGACUGGCCUCCGCCGCGUGCACUUUCCGCGGGCAGAGCGCUACGACCGGUUUCGCGGCGGCGACAAGCCCAAUCGGAUGCGUGGCACGAUCUCACGGUCGUGCUUCGGCCGGUCGAGGUGAGCCGCUGUCGGGACCGAGGGACGGCCGCACGCUUCGAGGCUGCCCGGCCUCGCGGGGGAGUUCGACUGGCAGGGACUGGGCAACCGUGCCUGCCGACCGCUCCUCUGUGUCGGAUCGGGACAGCCGGGCGUGUCAGGGGGUCAGUGGCGAGUCUGUCGGCAUUCCACCCGACC